This 253-nucleotide ribosomal RNA is filed under the name uncultured bacterium. Its description in RNAcentral is "partial 16S ribosomal RNA". It matches the Rfam family "Bacterial small subunit ribosomal RNA", at positions 524 to 776 of the family's 1533-position model. The record is from RNAcentral.
UACGUAGGGUGCGAGCGUUAAUCGGAAUUACUGGGCGUAAAGCGUGCGCAGGCGGUUUUGUAAGCCAGAUGUGAAAUCCCCGGGCUUAACCUGGGAAUGGCAUUUGGGACUGCAAGGCUUGAGUGCGGCAGAGGAGACUGGAAUUCCUGGUGUAGUGGUGAAAUGCGUAGAGAUCAGGCGGAACACCCGUGGCGAAGGCGGCCAGCUGGGUCGUCCCUGACGCUGAGGCGCGAAGGCGUGGGGAGCGAACGGG